Xyrichtys novacula (pearly razorfish) is the source of this 2701-nucleotide non-coding RNA. NCBI's taxonomy places the organism in Eukaryota, Metazoa, Chordata, Actinopteri, Labriformes, Labridae. The record is from the annotation of a GenBank genome assembly.
UUGUGCAUUGCUUUGCAGUCGAGAACAAACAGCUUGGAAGGGCAGCAGUGAAGCCUUUUGUUGUGGUUGUCAACUCAGUGCAAGACAUUUUUGUGUGGGAACGCAACAUACAGUAUGUACACAGGUAUCCUGUCAAGAGUGUUUUAUUUAAAAGAUUGUAUAGGAGUCCUCACAAGGGGUGCAGCAGCACACAAAAAUCAUGGUUUAGGUACAGCAUGUACCUCAGAUUAAAGUGAGUUUGAUUCACACAGUAAGGGAAUAAAAAAAAGUAAUUUCUUCUCCUUCUUGGGAAACUGAAAGAACUAACCCUUUACAUGUUUUCUAAAGUGCAGCAAUGACAGUUCAGGCUUGACGGCCGACUGUUAUUGUACUGUGAGACGUUCUAAUGAGCAGUUACAAAGAAACUAAAUUCUUAAAACAUCACAUUUUCAAAGAAUUCAACAGAAAGGCUGAGGCAGACACUAAGACCUUUGGGUUUAUUACCACCUACUUUAGACUGGCCGGAGAUUUAACCUGAAAACACAUUGACAGUUCUGGAAAUCCAUGCGUCAUUGUCAGUGCUAGAGCAGAUAGCUGGGACAAGCCGUGCAGAACAGCAGCUUUGGCAUGUUCAUAAAGGUCUAGUUUGACUUUCUUGCUGAAAUACAGAUGAGAUGGACUUUUAUAUUACAGAUCAAUCCCCUUUAACACUUGUUUAAACAACUAAGUAUGGUCACAGGUCUGUCGCUGGAGAAAUGCAUAUGUUACUUUAUUGGCCUGCUUAGAAAUUAGAGUAAAGACCUUUUAAUACAAAAGUCAGCUGUGUUUGUACUUUGGCAUCAUUUCUACCUACUUGCAGUGAUGUUUGUGUUUCUGUGGAGCUGUUUUAAAUGCAUACAUGAGUUGGAUGUGUUGACAGAAAUGUACCUGAAUUGCUACUGAUAAAUGUCUGCACACUACUCUUGUCAUAUCCAUUUGUCUUUGUCCAUUUUUGUUUUUCACUAGGGAACUUAAGUGUUCCCAUGCAGGAGACCUUAAUGAGGAAUCUUCACGCACUUGCUUUUUAUUUGUUGUGGCUGACAUGGUGGGGCUAAAAGGAGGGAUAAGGGAGUUCAGACUUUUGUUCCAAAAUCACUCAGAUUGGUCCGCCUAGGACCAAAAAUCCUGUACCUUAAUGGUCCAGUGAAUACAAACACCUUUACACCUCCAGUCAUUACAUCAGUAUUUUCCCAAUCCUACCACUAAUUGGCUAUUAUGGACCUUGGUUUACCCUCUAGAGAUGAUGGUCAGUGUUUUAGGGUUAUAUGCAGGUAUCUUUUAAUUAACAGCAAAAGUUUACAGCUUUAGUUUUAUGGACAAAUAAAACAAUAUCAUAAAGUUGCUCCCUUUGUUGCGGCUUAGAUGUUCGCUGCCCAAACAAGCGCACACAGCUCUCAAGUCAAUCAUCAGUGUUAAAAUGAUUGAAACCAUCUUUUGUGUUGCUGAUAUCUGGUCGAGUUUACUGCUCAGAAUUUACUGGCCUAAGGGUAAAAGCUCUGUGCCACACUCAAGACAGCUUGAAUUGAACUGAAAGGUUUAUCACCUGCCAAAGCAUUAAAAAAAGAACUCACAACAUUAACCAUUUAGCAUUAUUCUAGCUUGCACUAACACAGCUCUUUAAAAGUCUUGAAUGAGUUAUUUUACAUUGACAGUGUUACAAUGCAAGUCGUGGAGAAAGGCUAUUUUUCGAGGUAUUUAAGAAGGAAUGCAUGCUUAGUGGUGAGAAAAAGAAAUUAUGAUUCUAAUUAAGCAAGAAAAAUACUUUCUCUGAGGCUGUUUACAUGUAACUGUGUUCAGCUAAAACAGUAAACUACUGUUGUGUGUUGGCAGUUCCUUCACAUGGACAGAGCAUUUUGGCUCAAACUUUACAGUAGCUUGUACAAACAGUAAAUUAUACUUCCAUGAUAACUUUGUUCCCAUGUACAGAUGGUUGCAAAGUUUACUGCAGCUUCUUAAUGAGUUUAAAAGAGACAGCAGGAGGAAGAAGUUUACACAGGAAGAAGUUCAGUGACUGCUCAGUGACAUGCGGUCUCUGUUGAUUUCACCUGCAGGCUACAAAAUGGCAGCUCAGUUUCAGAGGUCUCUGUUCAUCAGACCCUGCCUGACUGCGGCUCCCCCUGCUCACACGGCACUAAUUGUGUUACAACCUCAAACCCUGCCAGGCUGAAGGGAUGAGCAUAUUUCACUGAGUGCAACAAAGCACAAUGCUGUCAGUCUUACUGCUAAUUGAUGUAUGGGCCGCUUUUGUGAGCAUCUUUUUUUUUUUGGAAGAUUUUGGUUUGGCCUGCAGCUUCUGGGCUUUAUUGUGUGCACUGAUCUCUUUGUGCUUCAGGAAUAAAUCAAAAUGAUGCAUUACUGCAGGAAGCUUAACUACAGAGAGACUAAAGUUUUACAGCUGGUAUCUCAAUCUGUGUUAUGCAAAAUAUGAAAAAUAUAUCUCAGAAAGUUGACUUCACAACCCUGUAGUUAAAACACACAUUAUGUGCUUUCAAUACAGCUUCCUGUAGUAAAAAGCACUGUUUACGUCUCCUCCAGAAGUAUUUCCCACAUCAAAAUAUUCUGUAGCACAGCCGUCUGUGUUGUUGUUUAUGAGCGGCACUUGGGGCGAGCUGUGAGCGGCUGAUUUCCCCGCGGUGUGACAGAGGCUCUUUGACGUUAUGAUUUGCGCUCCAAUCCACCCCAA